UGCUGUUUGGUGUAAUGGUAGCACAUAAGAUUUUGGCUCUUAUAGUAGAGGUUCGAGUCCCCUAACAGCAA
Molecule: transfer RNA, 71 nt
Filed under: Crassvirales sp.
Lineage: Duplodnaviria; Heunggongvirae; Uroviricota; Caudoviricetes; Crassvirales
Description: tRNA-Gln
Rfam family: tRNA
About the family: Transfer RNA (tRNA) molecules are approximately 80 nucleotides in length. Their secondary structure includes four short double-helical elements and three loops (D, anti-codon, and T loops).
Source: RNAcentral